ACAAUCAGACACGCAUUCCACGGCGAUUCCAUCUCAGUCUAGGGGAUUAAGAGUUUUAAUGAGAAAGGCCCGUGAACAUUGAGGGGCACAGAUGGCCUCUUAUAAGGGAUUCAUUUCAGCCAUCAAGUUGUCAGCCGUCAGGAUUACUAAGAGCCAAGAUUUUCCACGAGACCUGGGGGUGGGGUGAGAAAGUUACUCGGCAGGGUCAAAUCCCGGAAGAAACAUUAAUAUGGAAUCUUGCGCUGAGAACAUAUGCCUUCCCAAGCUUACCUUCUCCAGAUGGGCAAAUACAAAAAGACGUGCUGCAAAUACGAAGGCACAAGGCAAAACUAGAAUUUGAGACCGGAGUGAUUCACAUAAAUACUGUUCCACUUGGGUUAUGUA
Xenopus laevis (African clawed frog) is the source of this 384-nucleotide long non-coding RNA. RefSeq lists it as uncharacterized. The transcript has 3 exons. NCBI's taxonomy places the organism in Eukaryota, Metazoa, Chordata, Amphibia, Anura, Pipidae. The record is from RefSeq and is a predicted model, not a curated record.